UUACAAAUUACGGCUUCUAUGGAAAAUGUAGAGGGUAUUUUUGCAAAUAUUUAGAUUGAGAUGACAUAAAUUAGAAGGUUAUUUGUAAAUGGUGAGGAGUAUUUUGCAAAUAUUUGGAUGUCGAUCAAUAGUCGUGAUUCAAAUUAGGGGUUAUUUGUAAAAUCAUCUAGGGGUAUUUUCAAAAUUCCGAAUCAGCAUCCAAUCCUCCGUCGCGGCUUGCCGGAGCGCCGUCGCCUGGCGGCGGCCGUCCCGUGGGUACGCCUUCUUCCUUGUGCCUAUCUCGCAUCCGCCCUAGCUCUCGUGUACCGGGUACUCUCUCGCCUCUAAGCGGCAGCGGUAGAGCGAGGGAUUCCCGGAGAUGCCGCCGGCGGCGGCGGCACAGGACGCAGCCAGCCCUCGUCGUGCUCGGCCGCCGCCUUCUUCGAGCAGGCGUAGCAGAUCCUCGUGCAAUCGUGCCUAGGGCCACCGGCUUUAGGAUUCAAUCAGAACACUUCCAGUUCCCGAACAAUAACACAAGAACCAAGAAUCUCUUGCUGUAAGUUACAAUGCAUCGAGGAAACAGAUAAACAUUUUUUCUGUUAUGUUGCGGCAACCACAGCUGUUGUUGCAGCCGAGGACGAAAAGCGCCAUGCCUUCCUCACCGCUCCUCGUCGCUUGUGACAACAAUUGAAGCAUGGUGGCUAUCAGGGCCUGAACUCUGAACCAAGUGAAGAAGACAGAAAUGAUGCUGACCGGGAAGCCUCACCGUUCUCGCAGGACUUGGUGCGGGGCAGCGUGGGGGACGGAGGUGACGUCCUUGAAGGCUUGAAGAGAACCUCAGUGAACUCGUUGGCGGCGGCGUGGUCCACCGUCCACCAUGUUCCGGACUUCCGGUAUACGCAGUUGCUGUCGGUCAUCUCCCACAGAGUGCAGAAUUUCAGAAACUAUGUGCAGGGUCAUCACAAGCUCACAACGAGAAAGCAGAGUCACCUGGAGGAACCUGGUGGAAGACAAGAUAUCUUUCUUAGUCACAUAGCACAGUUACUAUCAGAGCUAGUAUCAAGGAGGAUGCAUGAGGUACUGUGUUCCUUUCAAUCCAAGCAAAAUCCGUUAAAACUUACAAUUACAAGAAGACAAUGGCAGAUGAGUGCAUUCCGUGGCACCUUUAUUGGACA
Panicum virgatum (switchgrass) is the source of this 1154-nucleotide long non-coding RNA. RefSeq lists it as uncharacterized. The transcript has 2 exons. The record is from RefSeq and is a predicted model, not a curated record. NCBI's taxonomy places the organism in Eukaryota, Viridiplantae, Streptophyta, Magnoliopsida, Poales, Poaceae.